GGUCAAGUUACGAAGGGCAUACGGUGGAUGCCUUGGCGCAGGAAGACGAUGAAGGACGUGGCCAGCUGCGAUAAGCUUCGGGGAGUCGCUAAACAGGCAUUGAUCCGAAGAUUUCCGAAUGGGGAAACCCAUCCUGCUUAAAGCAGGAUAUCUUCAUCUGAAUACAUAGGGUGAAGAGGGAAACCUAGGGAAGUGAACCAUCUCAGUACCUAGAGGAAAGGAAAACAACCGUGAUUCCCUCAGUAGCGGCGAGCGAACCGGGAACAGCCUAAACCAUAUACAUGGUAAAGCUCGUGUGCGUUGUGUAUAUGGGGUUACGGGGAUUAACAGGACUCUGACACGGCAGAGUCAAAGAGUUAUAAAAAGUAAAUUUAGCCAAAUACUCUGGAAAGUGUAACCAUAGAAGGUGACAGUCCUGUAGGCGAAAAAUUUACUUCUCUUUGUUAAUUCCCCGAGUACCACAGGUCACGAGGAAUCUUGUGGGAAUUUGGGAGGACCAUCUCUCAAGGCUAAAUACUCUCCUGCGACCGAUAGUGAACCAGUACCGUGAGGGAAAGGUGAAAAGUACCCCUGUUAGGGGAGUGAAAUAGUACCUGAAACCGUAUGCUUACAAGCAGUCGGAGCCUCAGAUAACUGGGGUGACGGCGUGCCUAUUGCAUAAUGAGCCGGCGAGUUACUCCGCGCGGCAUGGUUAAGCAUGGACACAUGCGGAACCGCAGCGAAAGCGAGUCUGAAUAGGGCGAUGAGUCGUGUGGAGUAGACGCGAAGCUGGGUGAUCUACCCUUGGCCAGGUUGAACUCCGGGUAACACCGGAGGAAGGACCGAACCGAUGUCGGUUGAAAACGACUCGGAUGAGCUGAGGGUAGGGGUGAAAGGCCAAUCAAACCCAGUAAUAGCUUGUUCUCUCCGAAAUAGUUUUAGGGCUAGCCUCGUAUGUUUGGUAAAGGGGGUAGAGCUCUGGAUGGCCUAGGGGGUCGAAAGGCCUUCCAAACCCAACCAAACUCCAAAUCCCUUUAACCAUAAUACGGGAGUAAGACUGCGGGGGCUAAGCUUCGUGGUCGAGAGGGAAACAGCCCAGACCGUCAGCUAAGGUCCCUAAAUGUAAGCUAAGUGGGCAAGGAUGUAGAGACGCAGAGACAGCCAGGAGGUUGGCUUAGAAGCAGCCAUCCUUUAAAGAAAGCGUAAUAGCUCACUGGUCGAGUAUCUUUGCGCCGACAAUGUACCGGGGCUAAAGCUUACUACCGAAGCUACGGAUUAUCAGUGUCUUCGGAUGCUGAUAAUGGUAGGAGAGCAUUCUUAUCUGGCUGAAGCUUCGAUGUGAGUCGGGGUGGACAGAUGAGAAGAGAUUAUGCCGGCAUGAGUAGCGAGUAUUCCGGCCAAAACCCGGAACGCCGAAUAUCUAAGGUUUCCUGAGGAAGGGCAGUCCGCUCAGGGUUAGUCGGUUCCUAAGCUGAGGCCGAAAGGCGUAGGCGAUGGACAGCAGGUCAACAUUCCUGCACCACUUGAGAAGCGUUUGUACGAAGGGGCGACGCAGGAGGAUAGGCAUACACACGAUUGGAAAUGUGUGGCCGCCAGGUAGAGGGAACUUCUAGGCAAAUCCGGAAGUUCAUCACCUCGAGCACGGCGGGGAAGAUAACCUUCGGGUUAUCCAACUUGCUGAAUCCACGCUGCCAAGAAAAACCUCUAAGGAGUUUCUCAGGUGACCGUACCGUAAACCAACACAGGUAGAUAGGGAGAGAAUCCUAAGGCGUACGUGUGAACCCUCUUUAAGGAACUCGGCAAAUUGACCCCGUAACUUUGGGAGAAGGGGUGCCUUAGUAGUGUGGUACUUAACUUUACGUUUGGGAAGCACGAGGAGGCCGCAGAGAAAUGGCCCAGGCGACUGUUUACUAAAAACACAGGUCUCUGCAAAGAAAAAAUCUCGAUGUAUAGGGACUGACACCUGCCCGGUACCGGAAGGUUAAGGGGAGGGGUUAUCCUGUUUUUUAUUAAGAACAGGAGAAGCUCCAAACCGAAGCCCUGGUAAACGGCGGCCGUAACUAUAACGGUCCUAAGGUAGCGAAAUUCCUUGUCGGGUAAGUUCCGACCCGCACGAAAGGUGCAACGACUUGGGCACUGUCUCAAAGAGGGGCACGGCGAAAUUGUAGUACCGGUGCAGAUGCCGGUUACCUGCCGCAGGACGGAAAGACCCCGGCACCUUUACUACAUCUUAUCAUUGGAUUUUGGAGUAUUAUGUGCAGGAUAGGUGGGAGACUUUGAAGCUCCAACGCAAGUUGGGGCGGAGUCGUCCUUGAGAUACCACCCUUAAUGUUCUGAGAUUCUAACUUACAUCCGCAAUCCGGAUGAAGGACAAUGUUAAGUGGGUAGUUUGACUGGGGCGGUCACCUCCCAAAAGGUAACGGAGGUGCCCUAAGGUUCCCUCAGGCUGUUUGGAAAUCAGCCGAAGAGUGUAAAGGCAUAAGGGAGCUUGACUGUGAGACUGACUAGUCGAUCAGGUAGGAAACUAGGGCUUAAUGAUCCGGCGGUCCCGCAUGGAAGGGCCGUCGCUCAACGGAUAAAAGGUACGCCGGGGAUAACAGGCUAAUAGGGCCCAAGAGCUCAUAUCGACGGCCCUGUUUGGCACCUCGAUGUCGGCUCAUCGCAUCCUGGGGCUGAAGCGGGUCCCAAGGGUUGGGCUGUUCGCCCAUUAAAGCGGUACGUGAGCUGGGUUUAGAACGUCGCGAGACAGUUCGGUCCCUAUCCGCGGUAGGCGUAGGAAAUCUGAGAGGAUCGGUCCCUAGUACGAAAGGACCGGGAUGGACGAACCUCUAGUGCACCAGUUGUCCCGCCAGGGGCAUCGCUGGGUAGCUAUGUUCGGGCGAGAUAACCGCUGAAGGCAUAUAAGCGGGAAGCUCACCUCAAGAUGAGAUUUCCCUCCCCGGGAGACCGGGGCUAAAGGGCCCUCGAAGACGACGAGGUUGAUAGGCUGGAUGUGUAAGUCCGGCAACGGAUUUAGCUAACCAGUACUAAUCGCCCGUGUGGCUUGACCAU
RNAcentral lists this ribosomal RNA (3030 nucleotides) under bacterium. RNAcentral describes it as "23S ribosomal RNA". It matches the Rfam family "Bacterial large subunit ribosomal RNA". The record is from RNAcentral.